Long non-coding RNA from Anguilla rostrata (American eel), 2341 nucleotides. RefSeq lists it as uncharacterized. The transcript has 3 exons. The record is from RefSeq and is a predicted model, not a curated record. Lineage: Eukaryota; Metazoa; Chordata; Actinopteri; Anguilliformes; Anguillidae.
UCUGGCUUCAGCUCAGUGUUCAAACCCCUCACACCUGAGAGAGCUGGACCUGAGAUACAAUCACCCAGGAGACUCAGGAGUGAGAGUGCUGUCUGCUGCUAAACUGGACACACUCACACUGCUUGUGGACCAUGGAGGAAAGAACAGGACCAAACCAGGACCCAGGAAAUACGGCUUUCAGUUCACACUGGAUCCAAACACAGCGCGCAGAAAGCUGUCUCUGUCUGAGGGGAACAGUAGGGUGACACACACCGGGGAGAAAAAGGCCAUAUCCUGAUCAUCCAGAGAGAUUUGAGUACUGGUCACAGGUUGUGUGCAGAGAGAGUGUGUGUGAGCGCUGUUACUGGGAGGCUGAGUUCAGUCUGUCUGAGUGGGGGGAUGGGUUGAUAUAGCAGUGACAGAUAAAGGAAUCGGCAGGAAAGGACGAGAAUGUGUGUUUGGAGGGAAUAAAAACUCCUGGAGUCUGAGGUGCUAUGAACUCAGUGACUCUGAUAAACUCAGUUACUCUGAUGAACUCAGAUUCUCUGUCUGGCACAAUAGUAACCCAACAGACAUACCUGACCCCCCCUCCCCCUUCCGCAGAGCAGGAGUGUGUGACGAUGGUGAUGAUGAUGAUGAUGGUAGAGGAGUGUGUGUGUACAGGGUAGGAGUGUGUGUGGACCAUCCGGCCGGCACUCUGUCCUUCUACAGCAUCUCUGACUCUGUCACACUGACCGUCCUGCACAGAUUCCACACACACUUCACUCAACACACACCCCUCUGUGCUGGAUUUUAUGUGUGGAGAUCCUCAGUGUCCCUCUGCUAACUGGAGUAGACACACACACACAAACACACAUGCGCGCACACACAAACAUGCACACACACACACACAUACGCAUGUGCACACACACACUCAUAUACACAUACACACACACACCACACUCAUAUACCCACUCACACACUACACACACUCAUACACACACACACACACUCAGAUACACAUAGAUGCACCCACACCUACACACAUGCAUGCACACACACACACUCAUACACACACAUACACACCACACUCAUAUACCCACGCACACACACACACACCACACACACUCAUAUACACAUACACACACACUUGUUUUUAUUCAGUCAUGGGGACGCAAGUACUGACAGUGACUUGUGGGGACUCCCUGUUCCACACGUCACAGAGUUUAAAAAAAUCAAGCAUGUUCUAAUGCUGUUUCUAAGUACAAAUACCACUUGAAAUUUUCAGUAGGACCUAAAUAAAGCAAAUUGACAUUUCGCUGCCUCCUGGAGACUAGAAAUUUCAGGUAUAAAAUCAUACUGAGGACCAUCUGAAACACUGUGUUUUCAGGGAUAACAUCAUACCGAGGACAAUCUGAAACACUGUGAUUUCAGGUAUAAAAAUCAUACAGAGGACAAUCUGAAACACUGUGUUUUCAGGUAAAACAUCAUACCGAGGACAAUCUGAAACACUGUGAUUUCAGGUAUAAAAAUCAUACAGAGGACCAUCUGAAACAAUGUUUUCAGGUAUAAAAUCAUACCGAGGACCAUCUGAAACAGAAAAUGUUUGGUCUUGUUAUCCUAUACACAUGGGUGUAUUCAUUUUAAAAUUGAUCUUACAAUACCAAAGGUAACAACUGACAACUGUUGUAAUACUGUACAUUUAAACAGAUACAGAACUUUGUACAUUUUAGAGAACUGCACUUCAGUACACUAAUAAAAUUAUGUGACCGAGGCACCAAAUACUGUCAUUUAAAUGAUUCCAAAACCUUCCACAAAUCCCAAAACUACAAAACUUUAAAAUUCUGGAAAGGAUCCACACAGACAUUGUAUACAGAAAAAAUAAAGCCUCCAUGUUGCUUGCUGUUUAUACUUUUGUGCAUGUAAAACUGUAGCUCCUUAGGAAUUUUUUCCCUAUGGAUGUCUACAUUACCUAUUAGAAAUGUUUGAAGGCAUAUCUCAGAAAACCUAUUCUAGUAAAUUAUCCUAUUCUCCUAAUAGCAAAAAUAGCUGGUUGGAGGACUAGCCGUUUAACUGUGAAUCUAUAAACAGGUGCACAAUACACACAUGACCUUCUGUAUAUACAUAAGGGAUUAAAAAAUGAAAACAUCAGGAGCAAAAAUGUCUGGAAAUAAUUUAUUUAUUUCCCCCAAAAAGGAACAUUAACAAGUGUAACCCAAAGGUACAUUACACAUGUAGAACAUGUAAAUGCUAGUACAUGUAGCAUUUCUGAAAAGGAGCAGUGCAUGUAACAGGACUGAAACAAAAUAGGCGUACAUUCUCAAAUACCCCCUCUCUGUUUCUGGAGAUCUCAAAUGAAUGUACUUAAUGUACCAACAUUAAA